UACAGAGGGGGCAAGCGUUGUUCGGAAUUACUGGGCGUAAAGCGUGCGCAGGCGGUUCUGUAAGUCUGUUGUGAAAUCCCCGGGCUUAACCUGGGAAUUGCGAUGGAGACUGCAAGGCUAGAAUCUGGCAGAGGGGGGUAGAAUUCCACGUGUAGCAGUGAAAUGCGUAGAGAUGUGGAGGAACACCGAUGGCGAAGGCAGCCCCCUGGGUCAAGAUUGACGCUCAUGCACGAAAGCGUGGGGAGCAAACAGG
This 253-nucleotide ribosomal RNA is filed under the name uncultured bacterium. RNAcentral's name for it is "partial 16S ribosomal RNA". It matches the Rfam family "Bacterial small subunit ribosomal RNA", at positions 524 to 776 of the family's 1533-position model. The record is from RNAcentral.